RNAcentral lists this ribosomal RNA (924 nucleotides) under uncultured marine bacterium. RNAcentral's name for it is "bacterial SSU rRNA". It matches the Rfam family "Bacterial small subunit ribosomal RNA", at positions 55 to 1025 of the family's 1533-position model. The record is from RNAcentral.
AUGCAAGUCGAACGAGGUAGCAAUACCUAGUGGCAGACGGGUGAGUAACAUGUGGGUAUCUUCCCUAUGGUGAGGAAUAACACGAGGAAACAUGUGCUAAUACCUCAUAAGUCUUUACAGAGAAAGCUUUAUGCGCCAUUGGAUGAGCCCGCACUUGAUUAGUUAGUUGGUAGGGCAAUGGCCUACCAAGACAUUGAUCAAUAGCUGAUUUGAGAGGAUGAUCAGCCACAUUGGGACUGAGACACGGCCCAAACUCCUACGGGAGGCAGCAGUAGGGAAUCUUGCACAAUGGGGGAAACUCUGAUGCAGCGAUGCCGCGUGAGUGAAGAAGGCCCUUGGGUUGUAAAGCUCUUUCGUCGGGGAAGAAAAUGACUGUACCCGAAUAAGAAGGUCCGGCUAACUUCGUGCCAGCAGCCGCGGUAAUACGAAGGGACCUAGCGUAGUUCGGAAUUACUGGGCUUAAAGAGUUCGUAGGUGGUUAAAAAAGUUGGUGGUGAAAUCCCAGAGCUUAACUCUGGAACUGCCAUCAAAACUUUUUAGCUAGAGUUUGAUAGAGGAAAGCAGAAUUUCUAGUGUAGAGGUGAAAUUCGUAGAUAUUAGAAAGAAUACCGAUUGUGAAGGCAGCUUUCUGGAUCAUUACUGACACUGAGGAACGAAAGCAUGGGUAGCGAAGAGGAUUAGAUACCCUCGUAGUCCAUGCUGUAAACGAUGUGUGUUAGAUGUUGGAAAUUUAUUUUCAGUAUCGCAGCGAAAGCGUUAAACACACCGCCUGGGGAGUACGACCGCAAGGUUAAAACUCAAAUGAAUUGACGGGGACCCGCACAAGUAGUGGAGCAUGUGGUUUAAUUCGAAGAUACGCGCAGAACCUUACCAACACUUGACAUGUUUGUCGCGACUUUAAGAGAUUAAAGUCUUCGGUUCGGC